Molecule: ribosomal RNA, 330 nt
Filed under: uncultured Glomeromycotina
Lineage: Eukaryota; Fungi; Glomeromycota
Description: eukaryotic LSU rRNA
Source: RNAcentral
CAGUCGUACCUGCGGAUAAUCAGCCUUUAGGAUGCGAUUUUGUGGAGUGUGAGGAGCUAAUCGCCUUCAUGCCUGUAUAUUCGUGUACUUGGGGUGUACUUAUUCGUGUGGUAAGUUAACAUCAAUUUUGGUCGUCAUAAAAUGACUGGAGGAAUGUAGCUUCGAUCUCGUAUUGAAGUGUUAUAGCCUUUGGUAGAUGUGAUUAUCGGGAUUGAGGAUUGCAACGGAUACCCUUCGGGGCUACUUGUCUGAUCUCUGAUCGUUGCUCUGGUGCCGAAAGCGUGCUUACGGUUAUCAAAGUCGAUGGUUAAUAGGUUAGAACGGAUUACA